GGUGAAUUCUGCUGAGUAACUGGA
RNAcentral lists this non-coding RNA (24 nucleotides) under Arabidopsis thaliana (thale cress). Lineage: Eukaryota; Viridiplantae; Streptophyta; Magnoliopsida; Brassicales; Brassicaceae. The record is from RNAcentral.